CGAUCCUAGCUUGCUAGGAGGCGUCGAGCGGCGGACGGGUGAGUAACGCGUGAGAAUCUACCCAUGAGUGGGGGACAACCCGGGGAAACUCGGGCUAAUACCGCAUACGCCCUACGGGGUAAAGCAGGGGACCUUCGGGCCUUGCGCUGAUGGAUGAGCUCGCGUCGGAUUAGCUUGUUGGUGAGGUAAAGGCUCACCAAGGCGACGAUCCGUAGCUGGUCUGAGAGGAUGAUCAGCCACACCGGGACUGAGACACGGCCCGGACUCCUACGGGAGGCAGCAGUGGGGAAUCUUGGACAAUGGGGGCAACCCUGAUCCAGCCAUGCCGCGUGUGUGAAGAAGGCCUUCGGGUUGUAAAGCACUUUCAGCAGGGAGGAAGGCUUACCCCUAAUACGGGUGAGUACUUGACGUUACCUGCAGAAGAAGCACCGGCUAAUUUCGUGCCAGCAGCCGCGGUAAUACGAAAGGUGCAAGCGUUAAUCGGAAUUACUGGGCGUAAAGCGCGCGUAGGCGGUGUGUUAAGUCGGAUGUGAAAGCCCAGGGCUCAACCUUGGAAUUGCAUCCGAUACUGGCACGCUAGAGUGCAGUAGAGGGAGGUGGAAUUUCCGGUGUAGCGGGUGAAAUGCGUAGAGAUCGGAAGGAAACACCAGUGGCGAAGGCGGCCUCCUGGACUGACACUGACGCUGAGGUGCGAAAGCGUGGGGAGCAAACAGGAUUAGAUACCCUGGUUAGUCCACGCUGUAAACGAUGUCUACUAGCCGUCGGGGUCCUUAGUGACUUUGGUGGCGCAGCUAACGAGAUAAGUAGACCGCUUGGGGAGUAUGGCCGCAAGGUUAAAACUCAAAUGAAAUUGACGGGGGCCCGCACAAGCGGUGGAGCAUGUGGUUUAAUUCGAUGCAACGCGAAGAACCUUACCAGGUCUUGACAUCCUCGGAACUUGGCAGAGAUGCCUUGGUGCCUUCGGGAGCCGAGUGACAGGUGCUGCAUGGCCGUCGUCAGCUCGUGUCGUGAGAUGUUGGGUUAAGUCCCGUAACGAGCGCAACCCUUGUCCUUAGUUGCCAGCACGUCAUGGUGGGAACUCUAGGGAGACUGCCGGUGACAAACCGGAGGAAGGUGGGGACGACGUCAGGUCAUCAUGGCCCUUACGACCUGGGCUACACACGUGCUACAAUGGCUGGUACAGAGGGUUGCGAAGUCGCGAGGCGAAGCUAAUCCCUUAAAGCCAGUCGUAGUCCGGAUCGGAGUCUGCAACUCGACUCCGUGAAGUCGGAAUCGCUAGUAAUCGCGGAUCAGAAUGCCGCGGUGAAUACGUUCCCGGGCCUUGUACACACCGCCCGUCACACCAUGGGAGUGGAUUGCACCAGAA
This 1366-nucleotide ribosomal RNA is filed under the name Alloalcanivorax venustensis. Its description in RNAcentral is "bacterial SSU rRNA". It matches the Rfam family "Bacterial small subunit ribosomal RNA", at positions 69 to 1425 of the family's 1533-position model. Lineage: Bacteria; Pseudomonadati; Pseudomonadota; Gammaproteobacteria; Oceanospirillales; Alcanivoracaceae. The record is from RNAcentral.